UACGUAGGAUGCUAGCGUUGUCCGGAUUUACUGGGCGUAAAGCGCGCGCAGGCGGCACUGUAAGUAAGGUGUGAAAUAUCCCUGCUCAACGGGGAGGGUGCACUUUAGACUGCAGAGCUAGAGGACGGUAGAGGGGGGUGGAAUUGCUGGUGUAGCGGUGAAAUGCGUAGAGAUCAGCAGGAACACCCGUGGCGAAGGCGGCCCCCUGGGACGGUACUGACGCUGAGACGCGAAAGCGUGGGGAGCGAACAGG
Molecule: ribosomal RNA, 253 nt
Filed under: uncultured bacterium
Lineage: Bacteria
Description: partial 16S ribosomal RNA
Rfam family: Bacterial small subunit ribosomal RNA
Source: RNAcentral